GGCUUACGCCCCCGGGCCCGCGCCCGCCGAAGACACCCUCGAACUCNGUCUGAAGAUNGUAGUNUGAGUGAAAAUAUAAAUUAUUUAAAACUUUCAACAANGGAUCUCUUGGUUCCGGCAUCGAUGAAGAACGCAGCGAANUGCGAUACGUAAUGUGAAUUGCAAAUUCAGUGAAUCAUCGAGUCUUUGAACGCACAUUGCGCCCCCUGGUAUUCCGGGGGGCAUGCCUGUCCGAGCGUCAUUUNUGCCCUCAAGCACGGCUUGUGUGUUGGGCCCCGUCNUCCGAUCCCGGGGGACGGGCCCGAAAGGCAGCGGCGGCACCGCNUCCGGUCCUCGAGNGUAUGGGGCUUUGUCACCCGCUCGUAGGCCCGGCCGGCGCUUGCCGAUCAACCCAAAUU
RNAcentral lists this unclassified non-coding RNA (398 nucleotides) under Penicillium sp. MK6-2020. RNAcentral's name for it is "sequence contains ITS1, 5.8S rRNA gene, ITS2, 28S rRNA gene". The stretch from base 89 to 241 matches the Rfam family "5.8S ribosomal RNA". Lineage: Eukaryota; Fungi; Ascomycota; Eurotiomycetes; Eurotiales; Aspergillaceae. The record is from RNAcentral.